This 492-nucleotide ribosomal RNA is filed under the name uncultured bacterium. Its description in RNAcentral is "partial 16S ribosomal RNA". It matches the Rfam family "Bacterial small subunit ribosomal RNA", at positions 29 to 507 of the family's 1533-position model. The record is from RNAcentral.
AUUGAACGCUGGCGGCAUGCUUUACACAUGCAAGUCGAACGGUAACAGGCCUUCGGGUGCUGACGAGUGGCGAACGGGUGAGUAAUGCAUCGGAACGUACCCAGAGGUGGGGGAUAACGCAGCGAAAGCUGUGCUAAUACCGCAUGUGAUCUGAGGAUGAAAGCGGGGGACCGAGCAGCAAUGUUUGGCCUCGCGCCUUUGGAGCGGCCGAUGUCGGAUUAGCUAGUUGGUGGGGUAAAGGCCUACCAAGGCGACGAUCCGUAGCUGGUCUGAGAGGACGACAAGCCACACUGGGACUGAGACACGGCCCAGACUCCUACGGGAGGCAGCAGUGGGGAAUUUUGGACAAUGGGCGCAAGCCUGAUCAAGCAAUGCCGCGUGCGGGAAGAAGGCCUUCGGGUUGUAAACCGCUUUUGGCAGGAACGAAACGGUGUCCGCUAAUACCGGGCGCUAAUGACGGUACCUGCAGAAUAAGCACCGGCUAACUACGUG